RNAcentral lists this long non-coding RNA (1446 nucleotides) under Struthio camelus australis. Its description in RNAcentral is "lncRNA (ENSSCUG00000009342.1)". Lineage: Eukaryota; Metazoa; Chordata; Aves; Struthioniformes; Struthionidae. The record is from RNAcentral.
CUGCAAGCGGUUAGGGAGAAAAACCUUAUCCCACUUUAGAGAAAAGAUAACUUGGGGGUGCAGAGGUUAGGUUGUCUUCCCAAACUGAUACAGCGUGGGAAUGAUGAAUAAAAAGUCCUAGCCCAAGAGCAACUGUCAAGGGAUUUUACUUGGGCUUUUGAAGCACGGGCCAAAGUCCGUUGAAGGCUCCUGUGAAAAUGUUCACGUUAACAUCAGCAUUUAAUUUUUCUGGGUUUUGAAUCUAUUUGAAGAAGCACAGAGAACAAUGCUAAGAUAGGUAUAAAACGUUGAAAAUACUUCAACCUUCUCCUAAAUGUUUUUUGAGUUGUGUGGUUUUGACGCUGGUUUUAUUCAUGCCCGUUGCCUUCUGUAGGUACGAGAGUCCCAGCAGUGUUCAUGCAGUACAAUUUGCGCGAUGAGGAGACUCCUGAAACGACUCCCAGUGACCUCCCCCAGGCAUCACCAGGACCUCAAGGGAAAAUAAGAAGAGUUCAUGAAGGUGGUCUCCAGAUGAUACAGCCCUCGCAGAAGCACUCACUCCGCUCUUCGUUUCCACUGACUAGGAAGCAAAUCCGCGACACUACCAGGCCUGGCAAGUGCAGACAGAUUCCAGUUGCUCCUGGACUUACUAAGAAGGUAAGAGGGACACACAGUGACAACUGAAUGUAAAACCAAGGGAGAGGAGGUAAAGCAGAGGAGAUGGAUGUACUUAAAGUUGUUUAUUCAUGUUUGCUUUGAUCUUAAAAAGUAAAACUAAUGCUUAUCACAAGUUAAUAAUUAAUUUACCAACACCAGAUUUCCCCUUCAUUUGAGCGACAGACUUGAUGUAAAGAUAGCAGUAUGAAAAAUAGUUUCUAAGUUGUUAAUAUACAGUGCUUUGGACUCCUUUGCUUCUCUUUGUAGAACUAGAAACGAAUUUGCUCUUUCAAGCAAACAUGGCAUUAUUGUGUCGUGUUCAUUUGUGCAAAGUGACCAUACUGUUAAUAUUCUGGUUUCAUUCAUACCUGCUUUGUGCACUUCUUACAAGGGUAGAGAGAUUAUGCAUGGCACUGAGCAGUGGAGAAGAACCGGAGUUUGGUACUUCAGUGUCGUACAGAGGCAAGGUAGAUGACUAAAAAUCAGACAUCAAUUUUACAUGCAAAUCUAGGACCCUUGUGCACUAUGUGAGUGCUGGUGCGGAUACAACCACUAGGUACUCUGUGAUUUAGAGUACAGUGACUGACUUUAGGUUAAGCUGACUUGCACUUUUGGAACAUGCAUACAGACAUGAGAGUUCACUCUAUGUAUAUACUUGUACACAAAUAUUUGUAAAAUCAUUACUGCCAUAACGUGGUUCCGCUUUCUUGAAAUAAUUGAGCCACCUGAUUUUUACUACUGAUUUUAGACCAUCAUGCUGUAAACUCUGUGGUAGCUGACCUUGUUCACAUAGAAACGUGAUAGAGAAAA